RNAcentral lists this unclassified non-coding RNA (524 nucleotides) under Hevea brasiliensis (rubber tree). Lineage: Eukaryota; Viridiplantae; Streptophyta; Magnoliopsida; Malpighiales; Euphorbiaceae. The record is from RNAcentral.
CAAUGUUAGGGCUCAAAAAUAUCUCAUUCCCAACCCCAAUCUCAUCAUUUUCUCGACCCAAAUUCACUUUCCCUUCUUGUCCUCUACAAACCCAUAUCAAAAUCCCCAAAAUCCAAUCGAGAUUUCUGCUUUUCGCACUAAAUAACAACAAUUCGCAAGAACCCAACAAACAAAAACAGGAAAAGCUAAAUGGGUCGGCUGAUAAUGGAGGCGGCGGCGAUGAUUUGAAGGAAGAUCGACCUCCCUUACUGAAGAAUAUCAAGUGGGGUGAGCUGCUGCUUGACCCAGAUCCUGAUAACAUCGUAGCCGUUGGAUUAACGGGGUUGCUCGCAUGGGCAAGUGCUCAAGUUCUGUGGCAGCUGUUCCUAGUCUCUGCGGCCAUUCUUGUUGCUGCUCUCAAGUACUCUUUUAUUGCUGCUCUGCUUAUUUUCAUUCUCAUUACACUUCUUUAGUGAUUUUGCUUUCUUCAUACUAAUAAUUUUUCGACCAAUUUUUGUACAGUUGUUUUAUGUAAUGCAAUUCCC